AGCUUAGUUUAGAGUUGAAAACUCUAAUGCUGACCAACUGGGGAAAAGUUCAGUUUAGGGUUGGGGCCCUAAUGCUGACUGAAUGGACAGAAGUUCAGUUUAGGGUUUAAACCCCUAAUGUUGACUGAAUGGAAAAAGUUCAGUUUAGGGUUUAAAACCCUAAUACUGACUGAAUGGAAAAAGUUCAGUCUAGGGUUUAAAACCCUAAUGCUGACUGAAUGGAAAAAGUUCAGUUUAGGGUUUAAAACCCUAAUGCUGAAUGAAUGGAAAAAGUUCAGUCUAGGGUUUAAAACCCUAAUGCUGACUGAAUGGAAAAAGUUCAGUCUAGGGUUUAAAACCCUAAUGCUGGCUGAAUGGAAAAAGUUCAGUCUAGGGUUUAAAACCCUAAUGCUGGCUGAAUGGAAAAAGUUCAGUCUAGGGUUUAAAACCCUAAUGCUGGCUGACCAUUCAGUUCAGUCUAGGGUUUAAAACCCUAAUGCUGGCUGAAUGGAAAAAGUUCAGUCUAGGGUUUAAAACCCUAAUGCUGGCUGAAUGGAAAAAGUUCAGUCUAGGGUUUAAAACCUUAAUGCUGGCUGAAUGGAAAAAGUUCAGUUUAGGGCUUAAAACCCUAAUACUGGCUGAAUGGAAAAAGUUCAGUUUAGGGUUUAAAACCCUAAUGCUGGCUGAAUGGAAAAAGUUCAGUCAAGGGUUUAAAACCCUAAUGCUGACUGAAUGGAAAAAGUUCAGUUUAGGGUUUAAAACCCUAAUGCUGACUAAGGGAAAAGAGUUCAGUUUAGGGUUUAAAACCUUAAUGCUGACUAAAGGAACAGAGUUCAGUUUAGGGUUUAAAACCCUAAUGCUGACUAAAGAAAAAGUUCAGUUUAGGGUUUAAAACCCUAAUGCUGACUGAAGGGAAAGAGUUC
Molecule: long non-coding RNA, 902 nt
Filed under: Nicotiana tabacum (common tobacco)
Lineage: Eukaryota; Viridiplantae; Streptophyta; Magnoliopsida; Solanales; Solanaceae
Description: long non-coding RNA (NTAB_LNC017879)
Source: RNAcentral